CCUACGGGUGGCAGCAGUGAGGAAUAUUGGGCAAUGGGCGCGAGCCUGAACCAGCCAAGUAGCGUGAAGGAUGACUGCUCUACGGUUUUUAAACUUCUUUUAGCAAGGAAUAAAGUGAGGCAUGUGUGCCUUUUUGUAUGUACUUUAUGAAUUAGGAUCGGCUAACUCCGUGCCUGCAGCCGCGGUAAUACGGAGGAUCCGAGCGUUAUCCGGAUUUAUUGGGUUUAAAGGGAGCGUAGAGGGGUUGUUAAGUCAGUUGUGAAAGUUUGCGGGUCAACCGUGAAAUUGCAAUUGAUACUGGCAGUCUUGAGUACAGUUGAGGUAGGCGGAAUUCGUGGUGUAGCGGUGAAAUGCUUAGAUAUCACGAAGAACUCCGAUUGCGAAGGCAGCUUACUAAUCUGCAACUGACGUUGAUGCUCGAAAGUGUGGGUAUCAAACAGGAUUAGAUACCCUGGUAGUC
RNAcentral lists this ribosomal RNA (460 nucleotides) under uncultured bacterium. Its description in RNAcentral is "partial 16S ribosomal RNA". It matches the Rfam family "Bacterial small subunit ribosomal RNA", at positions 338 to 795 of the family's 1533-position model. The record is from RNAcentral.